UGCAUGGAUCACACAGGCAGCAUGAAGCACUUUAUAAUACUACACCUGGUUUAGAAAGUGUAUCCUGGAUGGUGAAAAGCAGGAACACAACAGUGACCAGGAGAUUGGAUUUCGUUUGUAUCUGUAGAGCCAAGUAGAUCAGAGGUUUUAAAAGCAGAGCGAUAACCCACAACCAUCAGACUUCCGGUAGCGGACUUCCGGGGGGCUGGGUCUACCCAAUGGCCCGAUGUGAACGCAGUCCUAAUUAAAUAAGAAAUGGUUGUAGUAUUUUUCUUCUUCAGCAUUGGCCCCUACUUCCCUGGGGACUCAUCCCUGGAUCAUUAGACACAGCGUGAAUUCAUUGCUCAGAUCUGCUUCAGCGUGACUUGUCACCUUAGAUGUCUCUUUUCAAGUCACUUCAUUUCCUACUCAGACAAAUGUCCUUCACAUCUUAGAUACCAACACAAGUCUAUUCUCGUCAGGAAAAAAAAAAAAACAACUCUUCAAGACCUUAGUAAAACAUGUAUGUAUUUUAUGUGGGAAAAAACCCUGAGAGCAGCAUGAAAGUUAAGUAUGACAACUUUGUUAUUCAAAAUGGUGACGUUAGGCCAUUGACAUCACACCUAGAACACUUUUCAUGACACUUACCUCUAUGGUUAGGAGAACACAAUGCCAGUGAAAGAACUGGGAGGAUACCACUCCAUCUGAGCUGGGCGAAGAGCAGGACCGAUCACAGAAUUUCACUGUCCCUGGAGAUUGAGCUUAUGCAUCAUAUGAGCCAU
Rattus norvegicus (Norway rat) is the source of this 761-nucleotide non-coding RNA. The record is from RefSeq and is a predicted model, not a curated record. Lineage: Eukaryota; Metazoa; Chordata; Mammalia; Rodentia; Muridae.